Tupaia belangeri chinensis (Chinese tree shrew) is the source of this 586-nucleotide long non-coding RNA. RefSeq lists it as uncharacterized. The record is from RefSeq and is a predicted model, not a curated record. The transcript has 2 exons. Lineage: Eukaryota; Metazoa; Chordata; Mammalia; Scandentia; Tupaiidae.
AUAUUACUUGUUUUAAAUUACUUACUAAAUGAUUGCUCAGGGUGAAUUUUCUACACCUUGGGAAUUAACAUAUCCUUAAUUAUUUGAGAAUGUUUUAGGUACUGUUCUGAUGAUCAGUGUGUAACCACUUACAGAUGUGGUUCUAACAUUUUUUUUAUUUUAGACCAGCAGAGUGGUUAUGGGAAAGUAUCCAGGCGAGGUGGUCAUCAAAAUAGCUACAAACCAUACUAAAUUAUUCCAUUUGCAACUUAUCCCCUACAGGUGGUGAAGCAGUAUUUUCCAAUUUGAGGAUUCAUUUGAAGGUGGCUCCUGCCACCUGCUAAUAGCAGUUCAAACUAAAUUUUUUGUAUCAAGUCCCUGAAUGGAAGUAUGACGUUGGGUCCCUCUGAAGUUUAAUUCUGAGUUCUCAUUAAAAGAAAUUUGCUUUCAUUGUUUAUUUCUUAAUUGCUAUGCUUCAGAAUCAAUUUGUGUUUUAUGCCCUACCCCCCAGUAUUGUAGAGCAAGUCUUGUGUUAAAAGCCCAGUGUGACAGUGUCAUGAUGUAGUAGUGUCUUACUGGUUUUUUAAUAAAUCCUUUUGUAUAAAAA